Molecule: ribosomal RNA, 493 nt
Filed under: Blastocystis sp.
Lineage: Eukaryota; Bigyra; Opalinata; Blastocystidae
Description: SSU rRNA
Rfam family: Eukaryotic small subunit ribosomal RNA
Source: RNAcentral
UAUAAAUAAUUUUACUUUGAAACUGCGAAUGGCUCAUUAUAUCAGUUAUAGUUUAUUAGAAAUACUUUACUACUUGGAUAACCGUAGUAAUUCUAGGGCUAAUACAUGACUAAAUCCUCAACUUCGGAAGAGGUGUGUUUAUUAGUAUGAAAACCAUAUAUCUUCGGAUAUAAUAGUGAGUAAUAAUAACCUUUCGUAUCGUAUGUCGUAAGAUAACGAUAGUUCUUUCAAGUUUCUGCCCUAUCAGCUUUCGAUGGUAGUAUAUGGGACUACCAUGGCAGUAACGGGUAACGAAGAAUUUGGGUUCGAUUUCGGAGAGGGAGCCUGAGAGAUGGCUACCACAUCCAAGGAAGGCAGCAGGCGCGUAAAUUACCCAAUCCUGACAUAGGGAGGUAGUGACAAUAAAUCACAAUGCGGAACUAUUUAGUUUUGCAAUUGAAUUGAAAACAAUGUACAAAUGUUAUCGAUAAACAAUUGGAGGGCAAGUCUGGUG